CCAGAUCAGAGCUGAAGGCUUGCUUCCAACUCACUGUGCUUGCCCGGGCAUGGCCCAAUUAUCCCUAAUGUAUGGAAGAAAUGGCUGUGUAUUUCCUGCUGAGCCUCUCGAACCGACUGAGCACUAGGCAUCACGCUGUAGUGUCACCAUCCCGCAGGGGCAGAAUUUUCUCCGUGGAAGAAAAGUAUUUAGAAGACAAAUUACCUGGAAGAUAAUGGGGUCAGCCGACCAAGACCACAGUGGAAGUAACAAGAAAAUAUCUCUGAGAAUAAAGCUUUCAUGGUCAAAUAAAACAAAAAUAUUAAUUCAUAGAUGUAUUUAUUUGUCACACAGUUGUCAACAGUCAUGAAGUAUAGGUAUCUCUGUCCCCUAGGUAUUUGCAAUUUAAUUGGGAGGAAAAACACACAACAAUUGUAAUUUACAUAUGUUCAUUGCAAAAAAUAAAAAGGGAAAAUAGAAAAAAAGCAUAAAAAAGAAAAUUACUAACUUUUUCAUUGGGUUUUAUAAGUAUUUUUCUUCAUUUUUAUGUGCUUUUAAAAAUAAAAUGACUACCAUACUACAUAUAUAUAGUUCUGCUUUUUCCACUUAACUUUACUUACCAGGAGAAGUGGAAAAGGAAGUCUUUAACCCCCCUUCCAACUCUACAACAUACAUGGUAGAUAAAGGAUUCAUAUCACACAGACAAGGGCUCUUACAAAUUGAGAGAAAAAAAAAAGUGGAACAUCUCAGAGAAGUGGGCGAAGAACACAUGACAAGUGAAGCCACCAUAAAAGAAAUACAUGUGGCCAAAAAACAUUUAAAAUAUUCAAAUUCACUAGAAAUUCAAGAAGUGCAAAAUAAUGGAUGAGAUCUCAUUUUCACCUAUCAAGUUGGCAAACAUUUUUAUAAUAUUCAUUUCUAUAGUGGGAAAUCUAGUACAUGAAUAAAAGCCUUAAAAUUUU
Long non-coding RNA from Cervus elaphus (red deer), 941 nucleotides. RefSeq lists it as uncharacterized. The record is from RefSeq and is a predicted model, not a curated record. The transcript has 3 exons. Lineage: Eukaryota; Metazoa; Chordata; Mammalia; Artiodactyla; Cervidae.